This is a non-coding RNA of Kogia breviceps (pygmy sperm whale), 2271 nucleotides long. Lineage: Eukaryota; Metazoa; Chordata; Mammalia; Artiodactyla; Physeteridae. The record is from RefSeq and is a predicted model, not a curated record.
CGAUUUGGGUGACAUCUGAGACGCAGCCGCACAUCAACAAGGGUCCGGGCUCCAGGGACAUGGCGGCGGCCUAUGUGGUGUCGGUGCUGCUGGUGGAGACUGAGAGGAACCAAUGGCAGCCAGCCCAGAGCCCGCUGCUGCUGCUGCUGCUGCCGCUGCCGAGGCAACGAUCCAAAAGGUAGUUCUGGCACUUGGAUACUACUACCUUGGAGCAACUUGUCAUGCCUGCAUUGUGUGGAACCAGUGUUCAAAAUAAAAUGCAAAAACUUCAGGCUGGUGGAGGAGGGAGCACACAACGUCCUGGUACGCCAGGGAGACCAUUUGAUAUGUUAAAUAGAAUAUAUCAUUUCUCUGGAAGGAAGUCUCUAUGCACAACCCACUCUUAAGUAAGACUUUUUUUUUUGCUUUCCAAAAUGGAUCAAGAUGCUUAUUUUGGAUGAAGCCAGUAAAAAUGUUGAGCCAAAGGAUUAAAGGUCAAAUCCACGAGAUUUACCAGAAAUCAAAUACAAGGACUCGGGUUGUGUUGCUUUCUGCCUUAAUGCCAAUUGAUAUGCUGAAGACCUCAAAAAGUUCCUGAGAAAUCCACUUCAAAUUCUAGUGAAGAAAGAAGAACUGACCUUUGAAAAGAAUUGGCAGUGGGAGUCAAUUUGGGAGGAAGGCUGUGGCCAUAAACAUUGAAGAAGAAGAUCCUUUGUGACACUGAGCCUUUCUACCAUACUACACUGGAGGAAAUGCCAAUGAAUGUGGCUGACCUAAUUUAAUCCCUGGGAUGAAAUGGUUUUGAAUGUAGUGCUUGCUGUUGGUGAAUAGGUAAUCACAAGGUGCAUCAUGCUUCUUUUGGGGGAAAUAUGUGAAGCUUUGUCUCAAUGCUCACAACAGAUCAAAAAUAUAGAUUUUUGAUAGCAAAGCAGCUUCAGCCAUGAGCUCAUGUGAGGAAAGUCAUUGGUUUUAUCCUCUUUAGAAUUAGACUGUUGGGGUGGCUAUAAAAGAUGGGCUUGUACCCAAUCGAAAAAUGGGCAGAAGACCUAAAUAUACAUUUCUCCAAAGAAGACAUACAGAUGGCCAACAGGCAAAUGAAAAAAGUCUCAACAUUGAUAAUUAUCAGAGAAAUGCACAUCAAAACUACAAUGUGAUACUGCCUCACACCAGUCAGAAUAGCCAUCAUUAAAAAGUCUACAAAUAGCAAAUGCUGGAGAGGGUGUGGAGAAGAGGGAACCCUCUUACACUGUUGGUGGAAAUGGAAAUUGGUGCAGCCACUAUGGAGAACAGUAUGGAGGUUCCUCAAGAAACUAAAAAUAGAAGUACCAUAUGAUCCAGCAAUCCCACUCCUGGGCAUAUAUCCAGACAAAACUAUAAUUCAAAAAUAUACAUGCACCCCUAUGGUUAUAGCAGCACUAUUCACAAUAGCAAAGACAUGGAAACCACCUAAAUGUCCACACCUAGAGAUGAAUGGAUAAAGAAGAUGUGGUACAUAUAAUACAAUGGAAUACUACUCAGCCAUAAAAAAUGAAAUAAUGCCAUUUGCAGCAACAUGGAUGGAACUGGAGAUUAUCAUACUAAGUGAAGAAGUCAGAAAGAGAAAGAAAAAUACCAUAUGAUAUCACUUAUAUGUGGAAUCUAAAAUAUGACACAAAUGAACCUACCUAUGAAACAGAAACAGAUUCACAGACAUAGAGAACAGACCUGUGUUUGCCAAGGCAGUGGGGGUGGGGAGAGGAGAGAUGGAGUGGGAGUUUGGGGUUAGCAGAUGCAAACUAUUAUAUACAGGAUGGAUAAACAAUGAGGUCCUACUAUAUAGCACAGGGAACUAUAUUCAACAUCCUGUGAUAAAACAUAAUGGAAAAGACUAUGAAAAAGAAUACAUAUAUAUGUAUAACUUAAUCACUUUACUGUAGAGCAGAAGUUAACUCAACAUUGUAAAUCAACUAUACUUCAAUUUAAGAAAAAGAUGGGGUUGUAAAUCUUUCUUAGAAUUUUAUCUCCUAGUUCUCUACACAUGGUUAUAUUGAGUGUUCACUAUCAUUUAAUAAUAUACUUGUUGACUGAAAGAUACAUGCUGUAUAAAAGCAGCCAGUUAUAUUAAACUAGUAUAUCUGCUGUUAUUGUGUUAGUCAUUAGACUGAAUGGAACUAACUUUAAAAUGAUUUUUUAAUAAAAUAUUUGAAUUUAUUUUGUUCAGUAUCGUUUUUAUUCAGUAAGGCAUUUUAUUAGUGGUAAGUUUAGACUCUUGCUAAACACCAGCAACAAUCAUGUCCUACAGUUAAAUCUCAG